This 467-nucleotide ribosomal RNA is filed under the name uncultured bacterium. Its description in RNAcentral is "partial 16S ribosomal RNA". It matches the Rfam family "Bacterial small subunit ribosomal RNA", at positions 28 to 507 of the family's 1533-position model. The record is from RNAcentral.
GAUGAACGCUGGCGGCGUGCUUAACACAUGCAAGUCGAACGGUGAAGCAGAGCUUGCUCUGUGGAUCAGUGGCGAACGGGUGAGUAACACGUGAGCAACCUGCCCCUGACUCUGGGAUAAGCGCUGGAAACGGCGUCUAAUACUGGAUAUGAGCUGCGACCGCAUGGUCUGCAGUUGGAAAGAUUUUUCGGUCUGGGAUAGGCUCACGGCCUAUCAGCUUGUUGGUGAGGUAAUGGCUCACCAAGGCGUCGACGGGUAGCCGGCCUGAGAGGGUGACCGGCCACACUGGGACUGAGACACGGCCCAGACUCCUACGGGAGGCAGCAGUGGGGAAUAUUGCACAAUGGGCGAAAGCCUGAUGCAGCAACGCCGCGUGAGGGAUGACGGCCUUCGGGUUGUAAACCUCUUUUAGCAGGGAAGAAGCGAAAGUGACGGUACCUGCAGAAAAAGCGCCGGCUAACUACGUG